This 422-nucleotide ribosomal RNA is filed under the name uncultured bacterium. RNAcentral describes it as "partial 16S ribosomal RNA". It matches the Rfam family "Bacterial small subunit ribosomal RNA", at positions 360 to 774 of the family's 1533-position model. The record is from RNAcentral.
AAUUUUUGACAAUGGGGGAAACCCUGAUCCAGCCAUCCCGCGUGUAUGAUGAAGGCCUUCGGGUUGUAAAGUAAUUUUGGCAGAGAAGAAAAGGUAUCUCCUAAUACGAGAUACUGCUGUCGGUAUUUGUAGUAUAAGUACCGGCUAACUACGUGCAAGCUGCCGCGGUAAUACGUAGGGUGCAAGCGUUAAUCGGUAUUACUGGGCGUAAAGCGUGUGUAGGCGGUUCGGAAAGAAAGAUGUGAAACCCCAGGGCUCAACCUUGGAACUGCAUUUUUAACUGCCGAGCUAGAGUAUGUCAGAGGGGGGUAGAAUUCCACGUGUAGCAGUGAAAUGCGUAGAUAUGUGGAGGAAUACCGAUGGCGAAGGCAGCCCCCUGGGAUAAUACUGACGCUCAGACACGAAAGCGUGGGGAGCAAACA